This 74-nucleotide transfer RNA is filed under the name Candidatus Saccharimonadota bacterium. RNAcentral describes it as "tRNA-Phe". It matches the Rfam family "tRNA". Rfam says of the family: Transfer RNA (tRNA) molecules are approximately 80 nucleotides in length. The record is from RNAcentral. Lineage: Bacteria; Candidatus Saccharimonadota.
CGGGAUGUAGCUCAAUGGCAGAGCGCUCGCCCAAAAGGCGAGAGACGCAGGUUCGAUUCCUGUCAUCCCGGCCA